Molecule: ribosomal RNA, 460 nt
Filed under: uncultured bacterium
Lineage: Bacteria
Description: partial 16S ribosomal RNA
Rfam family: Bacterial small subunit ribosomal RNA
Source: RNAcentral
CCUACGGGUGGCAGCAGUGAGGAAUAUUGGUCAAUGGACGAGAGUCUGAACCAGCCAAGUAGCGUGAAGGAUGACUGCCCUACGGGUUGUAAACUUCUUUUAUAUGGGAAUAAAAUGUUCCACGUGUGGGAUUUUGUAUGUACCAUAUGAAUAAGGAACGGCUAAAUCCGUGCCAGCAGCCGCGGUAAUACGGAGGAUCCGAACGUUAUCCGGUUUUAUUUGGUUUAAAGGGAGCGUAGGUGGAUUGUUAAGUCAGUUGUGAAAGAUUGCGGCUCAACCGUAAAAUUGCAGUUGAAACUGGCAGUCUUGAGUGCAGUAGAGGUAGGCGGAAUUCGUGGUGUAGCGGUGAAAUGCUUAGAUAUCACGAAGAACUCCGAUUGCGAAGGCAGUUCACUGGACUACAACUGACACUGAGGCUCGAAAGUGUGGGUAUCAAACAGGAUUAGAUACCCUAGUAGUC